UCAGUUGUCUUAUAAUUGAAGACUGGAAUGAAUGGUUAAACGAAAUUAGAGCUGUUUCAUUUGUAUUUAUUAGAAAUUGGCUUUUAAAUGAAGAGAUUUAAAUUUGAUUAAGGGACAAGAAGACCCUAUUGAGCUUUAAAUAAUUUUGAGGGUUAAAGUUAUUAUAAAGAUCUAUGAUCUUUAGUAUUUUUUUAGUUGGGGCGACUAAGGAACAGGAGAAGCUUCCUUUAUUUAUUUAAUUGAUAAAUUUUGAUCCUGUAUUACUGAUUAAGAGAGAUAGUUACCAUAGGGAUAACAGCAUAAUCUUCUUGGAGAGUUCUUAUUAAAAAGGGGGGUUGUGACCUCGAUGUUGGACUAAAAUAUCCUAAGGGUGUAGAAGC
RNAcentral lists this ribosomal RNA (380 nucleotides) under Cipangopaludina chinensis laeta. RNAcentral's name for it is "partial 16S rRNA". It matches the Rfam family "Bacterial large subunit ribosomal RNA", at positions 1965 to 2562 of the family's 2925-position model. Lineage: Eukaryota; Metazoa; Mollusca; Gastropoda; Architaenioglossa; Viviparidae. The record is from RNAcentral.